Molecule: ribosomal RNA, 505 nt
Filed under: Rana graeca (Greek frog)
Lineage: Eukaryota; Metazoa; Chordata; Amphibia; Anura; Ranidae
Description: partial large subunit ribosomal RNA
Rfam family: Bacterial large subunit ribosomal RNA
Source: RNAcentral
UUCAACGGCCGCGGUACCCUAACCGUGCGAAGGUAGCAUAAUCACUUGUUCUUUAAAUGAGGACUCGUAUCAACGGCACUACGAGGGCUAUACUGUCUCCUUUUUCUAAUCAGUGAAACUGAUCUCCCCGUGAAGAAGCGGGGAUCAAAAUAUAAGACGAGAAGACCCCAUGGAGCUUUAAACUCACUAUACACCUCUGUGCCUUUAUGUCACUAGACACAAGAGAUCUGCGUACUAGUUUUAGGUUGGGGGGACCACGGAGUAUAAUUUAACCUCCAUAACAAAUGGGCUAACACCCUUAUCUACGAGACACAACUCUAAGAAUUACUAAACUAAUGCUUAUGACCCGAUAUUCGAUCAAUGAACCAAGUUACCCUGGGGAUAACAGCGCACUCUACUUCAAGAGCCCAUAUCGACAAGUGGGUUUACGACCUCGAUGUUGGAUCAGGGUAUCCCGGUGGUGCAGCCGCUACCGACGGUUCGUUUGUUCAACGAUUAAAACCCU